AGUGAUCCAUAUGCUGCUUACUACAUCGUUAUAUGUCAAUCUAAUUUCUUUCUUAUGACCAGACCUUUAUCAAUUUCGAAAUUGUGUAGCAGCAUCCACCACAUAGGAGUUCAUCUCCUUAUAAUCUAGUCAAUGUUCUCUGUGAGUAUCCUUGUGUAACAAGCUAUGAUCGAAUGUUGUUAGUAGGAAACAUGAAUACCUUUAGACCUCGUGAUCAUGUACCAUAUCUCACGGUUUCUUU
This 241-nucleotide long non-coding RNA is filed under the name Brassica napus (rape). RNAcentral describes it as "long non-coding RNA (BNAP_LNC021140)". The record is from RNAcentral. Lineage: Eukaryota; Viridiplantae; Streptophyta; Magnoliopsida; Brassicales; Brassicaceae.